UACGGGGGGGGCAAGCGUUGUUCGGAAUUACUGGGCGUAAAGGGCUCGUAGGCGGCCAACUAAGUCAGACGUGAAAUCCCUCGGCUUAACCGGGGAACUGCAUCUGAUACUGGAUGGCUUGAGUUCGGGAGAGGGAUGCGGAAUUCCAGGUGUAGCGGUGAAAUGCGUAGAUAUCAGGAGGAACACCGGUGGCGAAGGCGGCAUCCUGGACCGACACUGACGCUGAGGAGCGAAAGCCAGGGGAGCAAACAGG
RNAcentral lists this ribosomal RNA (253 nucleotides) under uncultured bacterium. RNAcentral describes it as "partial 16S ribosomal RNA". It matches the Rfam family "Bacterial small subunit ribosomal RNA", at positions 524 to 776 of the family's 1533-position model. The record is from RNAcentral.